This 500-nucleotide ribosomal RNA is filed under the name uncultured bacterium. Its description in RNAcentral is "partial 16S ribosomal RNA". It matches the Rfam family "Bacterial small subunit ribosomal RNA", at positions 28 to 507 of the family's 1533-position model. The record is from RNAcentral.
GACGAACGCUGGCGGCGUGCCUAAUACAUGCAAGUCGAGCGGACUGAUUAAGAGCUUGCUCUUAUGACGUUAGCGGCGGACGGGUGAGUAACACGUGGGCAACCUGCCCUGUAGAUCGGGAUAACACCGAGAAAUCGGUGCUAAUACCGGUUAAUAUCUGAGAUCACAUGAUCUUAGGUUAAAAGAUGGCUCCGGCUAUCACUACAGGAUGGGCCCGCGGCGCAUUAGCUAGUUGGUAAGGUAAUGGCUUACCAAGGCGACGAUGCGUAGCCGACCUGAGAGGGUGAUCGGCCACACUGGGACUGAGACACGGCCCAGACUCCUACGGGAGGCAGCAGUAGGGAAUCUUCCGCAAUGGACGAAAGUCUGACGGAGCAACGCCGCGUGAGUGAUGAAGGGUUUCGGCUCGUAAAGCUCUGUUGUUAGGGAAGAAACAGUACCGAACGAACUAGGUCGGUACCUUGACGGUACCUAACCAGAAAGCCACGGCUAACUACGUG